CCGACGUCAGUCUCCGCCUGCUUCAGCAACUGGGCAAGGAUUAGGAGCUCCUGACAUGAAGAGAACGCUGUCUGAGCGGCGAACAGGUGGGUGGUGUCUCCCUUUCAAACCCGACCCCGUGAUCAGCUGAUCACUACCUGACAGGAACAACAACGGCUGACGAGUACCCCCAGGUGUGAUCCUUCAUUGUGGCCAGGUGAUGAUGCUGAACUGAUAGCUGCAUCCCAGUCUGUGGAAGAUUCACUGAAGUCC
Long non-coding RNA from Pundamilia nyererei, 252 nucleotides. RefSeq lists it as uncharacterized. The record is from RefSeq and is a predicted model, not a curated record. The transcript has 4 exons. Lineage: Eukaryota; Metazoa; Chordata; Actinopteri; Cichliformes; Cichlidae.